GGAAAAACUUGGGCCACCACUGGUUCAUAAAAGUGCCUUUGUGUAGAUUUUAAAAGGUGCCGCCUCCGGAAAAAGACAGCCCAUGGCUUGAGUACCGUGGACUUUGUAAACUAUAAGCCAUAGAGAUUCAUUUGGCUCAUGGUUCUAGAGGCUGACAAGUGCAAGACUGAGAGACUGCACCUGGGGAGGACCUUCCUGCUGUAUCAGAACUUGGCGGGAGGCAUCACAUGGCAGUUAGACAGUAAGAGAGAAAGAGUAAAAGGUCUUCCUUCCGUUGGUUCACCCCCCAAAUGGCUGCUACAACCGGCGCCAUGCUGAUCUGAAGCCAGGAGCCAGGUACUUCCUCUUAGUCUCCCACGCGGGUGCAGGGGCCCAAGCACCUGGGCUAUCCUCCACUGCCUUCCUGGGCCACAGCAGAGAGCUGGACUGGAAGAGGAGCAACCGGGACUAGAACUCAGUGCCCAUAUGGGAUGCUGGCGCCGCAGGCGGAGGGUUA
Molecule: non-coding RNA, 496 nt
Organism: Oryctolagus cuniculus (rabbit)
Lineage: Eukaryota; Metazoa; Chordata; Mammalia; Lagomorpha; Leporidae
Source: RefSeq, a predicted model, not a curated record